RNAcentral lists this ribosomal RNA (253 nucleotides) under uncultured bacterium. Its description in RNAcentral is "partial 16S ribosomal RNA". It matches the Rfam family "Bacterial small subunit ribosomal RNA", at positions 524 to 776 of the family's 1533-position model. The record is from RNAcentral.
UACGGGGGGGGCAAGCGUUGUUCGGAAUUACUGGGCGUAAAGGGCUCGUAGGUGGUCAACUAAGUCGGACGUGAAAUCCCUCGGCUUAACCGGGGAACUGCGUCCGAUACUGGAUGACUUGAGUUCGGGAGAGGGAUGCGGAAUUCCAGGUGUAGCGGUGAAAUGCGCAGAUAUCAGGAAGAACACCCGUGGCGAAGGCGGUUCUCUGGGACGGUACUGACGCUGAGACGCGAAAGCGUGGGGAGCGAACAGG